UACGGGAGGCAGCAGUGGGGAAUAUUGCACAAUGGGCGCAAGCCUGAUGCAGCCAUGCCGCGUGUAUGAAGAAGGCCUUCGGGUUGUAAAGUACUUUCAGUCGUGAGGAAGGUGUUAAGGUUAAUAACCUUAGCAAUUGACGUUAGCGACAGAAGAAGCACCGGCUAACUCCGUGCCAGCAGCCGCGGUAAUACGGAGGGUGCGAGCGUUAAUCGGAAUUACUGGGCGUAAAGGGCACGCAGGCGGUUAAUUAAGUUGGAUGUGAAAUCCCCGGGCUUAACCUGGGAAUGGCAUUCAAGACUGGUUAGCUAGAGUCUUGUAGAGGGGGUAGAAUUCCAUGUGUAGCGGUGAAAUGCGUAGAGAUGUGGAGGAAUACCGGUGGCGAAGGCGGCCCCCUGGACAAAGGACCUGGACGCUCAUGUGCGAAAGCGUGGGGAGCAAACGAGGGAUUAGAUACC
This 458-nucleotide ribosomal RNA is filed under the name uncultured bacterium. RNAcentral's name for it is "bacterial SSU rRNA". It matches the Rfam family "Bacterial small subunit ribosomal RNA", at positions 340 to 786 of the family's 1533-position model. The record is from RNAcentral.